AAGUCGUAACAAGGUUUCCGUAGGUGAACCUGCGGAAGGAUCAUUAUCACUAAUAAUCCAAAUUAAAAGAGUUGCAAAAAAUAGGCGCAAGUCUAUUCUUUACUUCUCUUUUUUUCAACCAAUUUAAUCAAAUGUGAACCGUUUGUUCUCUUCGCUUUUUUUUUUGGUGUUGUUUGUUGUUGUUGUUGUAGCUUUUACUAGCAGCAACAGCAGCAGCAGCUUCCAAAUUUAAAUGAAGGAACACCAAUUUUUUUAACCAAUUGAACCUUUUCUAAAUUAAAUGUUGUUUGAAUUUCUGUUCUGAAGUGAAGCUAAUAUAUGAUCGAGAGAUCAUUGUUUAUCUUUAAAACAUUACGAAAUGUAAAUUAUUAUUACAAAAACAACUCUUAGCAACGGAUAUCUUGGUUCUCGUAACGAUGAAAAACGCAGC
This 430-nucleotide unclassified non-coding RNA is filed under the name fungal sp. RNAcentral describes it as "partial internal transcribed spacer region". The stretch from base 1 to 46 matches the Rfam family "Eukaryotic small subunit ribosomal RNA", at positions 1786 to 1831 of the family's 1831-position model. The record is from RNAcentral. Lineage: Eukaryota; Fungi.